AGUGAACGCUGGCGGUAGGCCUAACACAUGCAAGUCGAACGGCAGCACAGGAGAGCUUGCUCUCUGGGUGGCGAGUGGCGGACGGGUGAGGAAUACAUCGGAAUCUACUUUUUCGUGGGGGAUAACGUAGGGAAACUUACGCUAAUACCGCAUACGACCUACGGGUGAAAGCAGGGGACCUUCGGGCCUUACGCGAUUGAAUGAGCCGAUGUCGGAUUAGCUAGUUGGCGGGGUAAAGGCCCACCAAGGCGGCGAUCCGUAGCUGGUCUGAGAGGAUGAUCAGCCACACUGGAACUGAGACACGGUCCAGACUCCUACGGGAGGCAGCAGUGGGGAAUAUUGGACAAUGGGCGCAAGCCUGAUCCAGCCAUACCGCGUGGGUGAAGAAGGCCUUCGGGUUGUAAAGCCCUUUUGUUGGGAAAGAAAUCCAGCUGGCUAAUACCCGGUUGGGAUGACGGUACCCAAAGAAUAAGCACCGGCUAACUUCGUGCCAGCAGCCGCCGUAA
RNAcentral lists this ribosomal RNA (506 nucleotides) under uncultured bacterium. RNAcentral's name for it is "partial 16S ribosomal RNA". It matches the Rfam family "Bacterial small subunit ribosomal RNA", at positions 29 to 523 of the family's 1533-position model. The record is from RNAcentral.